UCGGGAAUAUUGCGCAAUGGAGGAAACUCUGACGCAGUGACGCCGCGUGCAGGAAGAAGGUUUUCGGAUUGUAAACUGCUUUUAGACCGGGAAGAAACAAGACAGUACCUGUAGAAUAAGCUCCGGCUAACUACGUGCCAGCAGCCGCGGUAAUACGUAGGGAGCAAGCGUUAUCCGGAUUUAUUGGGUGUAAAGGGUGCGUAGACGGGAAUGCAAGUUGGUUGUGAAAUCCCUCGGCUCAACCGAGGAAUUGCAACCAAAACUAUAUUUCUUGAGUGCUGGAGAGGAAAGUGGAAUUCCUAGUGUAGCGGUGAAAUGCGUAGAUAUUAGGAGGAACACCAGUGGCGAAGGCGACUUUCUGGACAGUAACUGACGUUGAAGCACGAAAGUGUGGGGAGCAAACAGGAUUAGAUACC
This 416-nucleotide ribosomal RNA is filed under the name uncultured bacterium. Its description in RNAcentral is "bacterial SSU rRNA". It matches the Rfam family "Bacterial small subunit ribosomal RNA", at positions 355 to 786 of the family's 1533-position model. The record is from RNAcentral.